CUGUGGGAAGCAGGAGGGACCACCCUCCAAGGCUAAAUACUACCUAGUGACCGAUAGCGUAUAGUACCGUGAGGGAAAGGUGAAAAGAACCCCGGGAGGGGAGGGAAAUAGAACCUGAAACCCUGCACUUACAAGCUGUGGAAGCACAUUUCUUGUGUGACCGCGUACUUUUUGUAGAACGGGCCAACGAGUUACGUUAAGUAGCAAGGUUAAGCACUUAAGGUGCGGAGCCGUAGCGAAAGCGAG
Molecule: ribosomal RNA, 246 nt
Filed under: Clostridioides difficile
Lineage: Bacteria; Bacillati; Bacillota; Clostridia; Peptostreptococcales; Peptostreptococcaceae
Description: partial 23S ribosomal RNA
Rfam family: Bacterial large subunit ribosomal RNA
Source: RNAcentral